Molecule: ribosomal RNA, 400 nt
Filed under: Callosobruchus chinensis (azuki bean weevil)
Lineage: Eukaryota; Metazoa; Arthropoda; Insecta; Coleoptera; Chrysomelidae
Description: partial 12S small subunit ribosomal RNA
Source: RNAcentral
UAAACUAGGAUUAGAUACCCUAUUAUUUUAAAUGUAAAUUAUUUAUUACUAAAUUAGUAUCAGUUAUUUUCUUGAAAAUUAAAAAAUUUGGCGGUAUUUUAGUCUUUUCAGAGGAACCUGUCCUGUAAUUGAUAAUCCACGAUUAAAAAUACUUUAUUUUUUAAUUUAUAUAUCGUUGUAGUUUAAAUAUUUUAUUAGAAAUUGAAUAUUUAUAAUUUUGAAUUAAAAAGUAAAUCAGAUCAAGGUGUAGUUUAUAAUAAAGUAGAGAUGGGUUACAAUAAAUUAAUUUAAGGAUAAUUUUUUUUAAAGGGAUUUGAAUUUGGAUUUGAUAGUAAUUUUAUAUAAUUUAUAUAAGAUGAUUUAAGCUCUAAAAUAUGCACACAUCGCCCGUCGCUCUUAA